AGCCCGGGGAAACUCGGAUUAAUACCGUAUACCUCCUUUGGGAGAAAGAGGGCCUCUCUUUGAUGCUCUCGCUACUAGAUGAGCCUGCGUAAGAUUAGCUAGUUGGUGAGGUAAUGGCUCACCAAGGCGACGAUCUUUAGCUGGUCUGAGAGGACGAUCAGCCACAUCGGGACUGAGACACGGCCCAGACUCCUACGGGAGGCAGCAGUAGGGAAUAUUGGACAAUGAGCGCAAGCUUGAUCCAGCCAUACCGCGUGUGUGAAGAAGGCUUUCGGGUUGUAAAGCACUUUAAGCAGGGAGAAAAAGUUAUAGGCUAAUACCCUAUGACCGUGAUGUUACCUGCAGAAUAAGCACCGGCUAAUUCCGUGCCAGCAGCUGCGGUAAUACGGAAGGUGCAAGCGUUAAUCGGAAUUACUGGGCGUAAA
RNAcentral lists this ribosomal RNA (425 nucleotides) under uncultured bacterium. Its description in RNAcentral is "bacterial SSU rRNA". It matches the Rfam family "Bacterial small subunit ribosomal RNA", at positions 145 to 564 of the family's 1533-position model. The record is from RNAcentral.